AUGCGGUUAGACCAAUGGUUAGGUCAGCAUCUUUACACGGUGCAUACUGUUGGUUCGAGUCCAGCACUGCAUAGCA
This 76-nucleotide transfer RNA is filed under the name Rickettsiaceae bacterium. Its description in RNAcentral is "tRNA-Val". It matches the Rfam family "tRNA". From Rfam's summary of the family: Transfer RNA (tRNA) molecules are approximately 80 nucleotides in length. Their secondary structure includes four short double-helical elements and three loops (D, anti-codon, and T loops). Lineage: Bacteria; Pseudomonadati; Pseudomonadota; Alphaproteobacteria; Rickettsiales; Rickettsiaceae. The record is from RNAcentral.